GACCUACGGGGGGCAGCAGUGAGGAAUAUUGGUCAAUGGGCGGGAGCCUGAACCAGCCAAGUCGCGUGAGGGAAGACGGUCCUAUGGAUUGUAAACCUCUUUUGUCGGGGAGCAAAGAGACCACGUGUGGUCAAAGGCGAGAGUACCCGAAGAAAAAGCAUCGGCUAACUCCGUGCCAGCAGCCGCGGUAAUACGGGGGAUGCGAGCGUUAUCCGGAUUUAUUGGGUUUAAAGGGUGCGUAGGCGGGACGGUAAGUCAGCGGUAAAAAUGCGGGGCUCAAAUCCGUCGAGCGUGUGGAACUGUCG
RNAcentral lists this ribosomal RNA (305 nucleotides) under uncultured bacterium. RNAcentral's name for it is "bacterial SSU rRNA". It matches the Rfam family "Bacterial small subunit ribosomal RNA", at positions 334 to 638 of the family's 1533-position model. The record is from RNAcentral.